GGUGUAGCUCAAUUGGUAGAGUAGCGGUCUCCAAAACCGUUGGUUGUGGGUUCGAUUCCUACCACC
This 66-nucleotide transfer RNA is filed under the name marine eukaryotic metagenome. It matches the Rfam family "tRNA". Rfam says of the family: Transfer RNA (tRNA) molecules are approximately 80 nucleotides in length. Their secondary structure includes four short double-helical elements and three loops (D, anti-codon, and T loops). Further hydrogen bonds mediate the characteristic L-shaped molecular structure. tRNAs have two regions of fundamental functional importance: the anti-codon, which is responsible for specific mRNA codon recognition, and the 3' end, to which the tRNAs corresponding amino acid is attached (by aminoacyl-tRNA synthetases). tRNAs cope with the degeneracy of the genetic code in two manners: having more than one tRNA (with a specific anti-codon) for a particular amino acid; and 'wobble' base-pairing, i.e. permitting non-standard base-pairing at the 3rd anti-codon position. The record is from RNAcentral.